Molecule: non-coding RNA, 46 nt
Organism: Ixodes scapularis (black-legged tick)
Lineage: Eukaryota; Metazoa; Arthropoda; Arachnida; Ixodida; Ixodidae
Source: Rfam
CAAACGGCCUCUCUAAAGGCCACUCAUAUUUGCAAUGAAGAUGCCG